This 258-nucleotide ribosomal RNA is filed under the name uncultured bacterium. RNAcentral describes it as "partial small subunit ribosomal RNA". It matches the Rfam family "Bacterial small subunit ribosomal RNA", at positions 26 to 285 of the family's 1533-position model. The record is from RNAcentral.
AGGACGAACGCUGGCGGCGUGCUUAACACAUGCAAGUCGAACGGAAAGGCCCGCUUGCGGGUACUCGAGUGGCGAACGGGUGAGUAACACGUGGGCAACCUGCCCUCAGCUUCGGGAUAACACUUGGAAACCAGGUGCUAAUACCGGAUAAUAACUUUUCAUCGCAUGGUGGAUGGUUCAAAGUUUUUCGGCUGAGGAUGGGCCCGCGGCCUAUCAGCUUGUUGGUGGGGUAAUGGCCUACCAAGGCGACGACGGGUA